RNAcentral lists this transfer RNA (65 nucleotides) under Acrochordus granulatus (little file snake). RNAcentral describes it as "tRNA-Glu". Lineage: Eukaryota; Metazoa; Chordata; Lepidosauria; Squamata; Acrochordidae. The record is from RNAcentral.
AUUUUUAUAGUUGAUUUACAACGGUGGUUUUUCGGACUGCAGGUCUCGGUUAUCGAGUAAAAAUA